This is a long non-coding RNA of Triticum aestivum (bread wheat), 1270 nucleotides long. RefSeq lists it as uncharacterized. NCBI's taxonomy places the organism in Eukaryota, Viridiplantae, Streptophyta, Magnoliopsida, Poales, Poaceae. The transcript is spliced from 3 exons. The record is from RefSeq and is a predicted model, not a curated record.
GCCGACAUGAGCUGCAGCGUCGUCGAUGCCAGGGCGUGGUCGCAUCGCGGCCGCCUCGCCUGCCUCGUCUACCUGCGGGACGAGGAUGUGGCCGUCGCCGGUGUGGAGCGCAUCGAGGCCCGCCUCGCCCCCCUCCUCCGCGAGACUCGGAAGCCAGCGGCGGCGCCGUGGCUGCCGUCCCCGCCGGCUCCAUCCCGCACGCCGACCGGCGUCUCCACCAGCUCAUGUAUGCCAGCGGCGACCAGGAGCGCGCAUUCCCAGCUCCCUCGGUGUCUGUCAAGAGCUAGGCCGAGCGCGGGUACUCGGUGUUCAACGUCCAUUCCACAAUCAUCUCUUGUACAGUGGCUGAGGAAGAUCCAGGAAAGCAAGAGCUGCGCAAGAGGGGGCAGGAUCAGGAAGAAGCACGGUGAUGGAACCUUAGCAGUAGACCAAAUGCAGACAUGUACAUAAGGGGAUCCGAUUACGAUUAGAUGAUGCAGACCGUGUCCUUGUCCAACAAAACUCAAUCGAGUGUUUGACCCGGAUUGUUCUUUUUUGCUAUAAGAAGGAAGAGUACUACGCUGGAAUCUCCAUCACGUUAAUUGUCGACGAAACAUCCAAUGUUUCCGCCGAGUUCGCAGCAGGAAGGAGCUCCGAGUUCGCCAAUGUCUCCUGCGGCGUCUACACCAGAGAUACGACAGUUAAGAGCGUCACGGGAGGAAGAAGCUCCGAGUUCGCCGGAGGUACACAAACAUCCGUCCAGCACUCCAAUGUCGCCUACGGCAUCUACACCAGAGGAGCGGGUGAUUGAUGGGCCAAUUAUGCCAGUAAUGUCCUUAAUUUCAGAGAAGAUGCAAAACAGAUAACAUGGAUGAGCUUGAAUACUUGCCGGUAGUGUAGCUUUCUGCUGGACCAUAUAUUCUGCCCGGAGAAGUUUCAGUGACCGAUGGAAGCUUUGAUGUAUUCUUUUCAAGCAAAAGUAAUCGUCUAUUACCCAUGUCAGGUUUCGACUCAAAUGGGCCGUCCUGGCUCAAAGAGGAUCAUGGCACCACCACCUGUGAACUUCGUUCCCGCUCCCGUUGGCUCUCCCCCUCCGAUCAACAUGCAACAUUAGUUCCAUUCCUGCUUUUAGCUAUUUGCAUAAGUAUAAUCUGCAUUAUUGUUCUCUUUCUCAAUGCUGAGCAAUUGCAGGCAUGUAAGGUUCAACGAAAUUGAGAACCUACACAUAUACAAUAGAGGUUGGGACGCAAUGACAAAGGUUUUGUGUGCUCGCAUCAAACAUACUCGGAGU